UACGUAGGGCGCAAGCGUUGUCCGGAAUUAUUGGGCGUAAAGAGCUCGUAGGCGGUUUGUCACGUCGGCUGUGAAAACCCGAGGCUCAACCUCGGGCCUGCAGUCGAUACGGGCAGACUAGAGUGCUGUAGGGGAGACUGGAAUUCCUGGUGUAGCGGUGAAAUGCGCAGAUAUCAGGAGGAACACCGGUGGCGAAGGCGGGUCUCUGGGCAGUAACUGACGCUGAGACGCGAAAGCGUGGGGAGCAAACAGG
This 253-nucleotide ribosomal RNA is filed under the name uncultured bacterium. RNAcentral describes it as "partial 16S ribosomal RNA". It matches the Rfam family "Bacterial small subunit ribosomal RNA", at positions 524 to 776 of the family's 1533-position model. The record is from RNAcentral.